AAUGGAUUUUAAUAUUAGAUAAGAAAUGAAUUGGAAACAUACUGUGUUUAUUCUGACGAGUAAUAUUGUCUUGUUUAAUGGACUAUGUGGCGCGCAGUGCACGUGGCCCAGUGAGUUCCGGUCUAGCACGUGGCGCUCGAACAGACAUGGCGUCCUUGCGUUCUCGACCAGCACCAUGGAGGGAUGGUCUUUCACGGUGGACGGACAGACCAGGUCGACGUGGCAGUGCACGAAUGUAGACCUCUUUCAGACGGAGGGGUAUCUCAUGAUGAGAUCGUCGACGAGUUUCCGGUCGUUAGGCGAAGAUUUCUAUGCCUAUUUGUGCGUCAGACUGAAACAACUUACGGCCAUGUCGUACCGAUUUUACGUUGAGGCCCGUAAGUUUAUGCGCAUGCGCACUUUAUUUCAGGUCUGUCAACAGCUUCAUACAGUUUGUGACG
This is a long non-coding RNA of Dreissena polymorpha, 440 nucleotides long. RefSeq lists it as uncharacterized. The record is from RefSeq and is a predicted model, not a curated record. NCBI's taxonomy places the organism in Eukaryota, Metazoa, Mollusca, Bivalvia, Myida, Dreissenidae. The transcript is spliced from 3 exons.